UACGUAGGUGGCAAGCGUUAUACGGAUUUACUGGGUGUAAAGGGCGAGUAGGCGGGAUUGCAAGUCAGAUGUGAAAACUAUGGGCUCAACCGAUAGAGUGCAUUUGAAACUGCAGUUCUUGAGUGAUGGAGAGGCAGGCGGAAUUCCCGGUGUAGCAGUGAAAUGCGUAGAUAUCGAGAGGAACACUCGUGGCGAAGGCGGCUUACUGGACUGUAACUGACGCUGAGGCUCGAAAGCAUGGGUAGCGAACAGG
Molecule: ribosomal RNA, 253 nt
Filed under: uncultured Oscillospiraceae bacterium
Lineage: Bacteria; Bacillati; Bacillota; Clostridia; Eubacteriales; Oscillospiraceae
Description: partial 16S ribosomal RNA
Rfam family: Bacterial small subunit ribosomal RNA
Source: RNAcentral